RNAcentral lists this transfer RNA (75 nucleotides) under Clostridiales bacterium. RNAcentral's name for it is "tRNA-Val". It matches the Rfam family "tRNA". Rfam says of the family: Transfer RNA (tRNA) molecules are approximately 80 nucleotides in length. Their secondary structure includes four short double-helical elements and three loops (D, anti-codon, and T loops). Further hydrogen bonds mediate the characteristic L-shaped molecular structure. tRNAs have two regions of fundamental functional importance: the anti-codon, which is responsible for specific mRNA codon recognition, and the 3' end, to which the tRNAs corresponding amino acid is attached (by aminoacyl-tRNA synthetases). tRNAs cope with the degeneracy of the genetic code in two manners: having more than one tRNA (with a specific anti-codon) for a particular amino acid; and 'wobble' base-pairing, i.e. permitting non-standard base-pairing at the 3rd anti-codon position. The record is from RNAcentral. Lineage: Bacteria; Bacillati; Bacillota; Clostridia; Eubacteriales.
GGGCAAUUAACUCAGUGGGAGAGUGUCUUCUUGACGUGGAGAAAGUCGGGGGUUCGAAUCCCUCAUUGCCCACCA